Rhinopithecus roxellana (golden snub-nosed monkey) is the source of this 321-nucleotide long non-coding RNA. RefSeq lists it as uncharacterized. The record is from RefSeq and is a predicted model, not a curated record. The transcript is spliced from 3 exons. NCBI's taxonomy places the organism in Eukaryota, Metazoa, Chordata, Mammalia, Primates, Cercopithecidae.
UGGAUAUUCGGUGUGUGAGCUUCAAGAGUAUCUAAGGGACGUGACAACGUGGUUGGGAAUAUACCAGAGACUACAAACUGUCUAUGCAUCCCAGAGGAACAGGAAGCUCGUGCAGGUGAAAAGACUGGAGGAGGAGGUAGUGCCAAAAUGUAUUAAAAGGAAGAGAUAAAGUUCAAUUAAAAGUACUGUAUUGGAGAGCCUCUCAAACUGCAUGAGACCCAAGCCUAGAACCCAGCAAAACUGUCUCUGCCUGUUCUUCUAUCACGAGACUAUCAAAGGAAUGGGAAAGCAGAAAAGUGGCCUGUUCUACAUAGACCUCUU